RNAcentral lists this long non-coding RNA (1230 nucleotides) under Homo sapiens (human). RNAcentral's name for it is "long intergenic non-protein coding RNA 1829". Lineage: Eukaryota; Metazoa; Chordata; Mammalia; Primates; Hominidae. The record is from RNAcentral.
UGGGGCCGUUUUCGGUUGGCGCUGCUUCUCUUUGUUCUGUUGUCCCCCAGUGCAGUGAACCCUUACAUUAUGGGUUUCUCUUGUAGUUCUAACCUCUAAUACUCAACCAUUACAUCUUAUCUCGUCUUCUAAAUUACUCUAAAAUCCAAUUAUAAAACCCUCUCUCCUUCAAGAGCACACAACUUGCCACAUUACUGAAAUGCUGGGCUGCUCUUUUGUUUUUCUAAAUUAAUAAUAACUAUACCAUUUUCCGUCUGCUCUUACCAUGGGACUCUUUUAUAUCACCACAUAAAAUGCAUAUUAUGAUUCUUUUUGCUUCUUUUCUGGGCUGCAAAAAAGCGAAGGAUGAUUUUCCAAAUAUUCAUAAAAGAUCUGUCAGUUGGUUUUUAGUGUAAAAACAUUUGAAACUACAAUCCUUAAAGAAGAAAGCAUCUUAAUAUUUAUCAGUUAAAAUUUCACUAUUGCUUUCUUUUGUAUGGGCAAAAUAGAAGUCUAUCAUUUUUAAGGUUUUAAGAGAUUUGAAUGAAUUUUAUGUGUUAGUUAAAAUUUUUAUGGAUUGAAAACGCUUAGUUUCACUAAGAUUUCAAAAGCACAAACGAUUUUUAAAAUCUAGGUCCCCUCGUGAGUUUCUUGAAUUUACAGGAGGGCAGUGACUAUUCUUAAAUAUAGAUUCAACUUCUAUAAGUUAUCAAAAUAUUUCAGGAAGAGAGAACAUGCCCAGAACAUAUAAGAAAAAGCUUUAACAGUAUCAGGAAUAUCCUCAAACACUUUUUCUGACAAAAGGGCUCUGCUGGAGUGAGGAAGCUGACUGAGGGAAGAACCAGAAGGCUGCCAAAAUACAAUUGUGUGCCUUUAAAGGAAAUAACAACAAGAAUUAGGAGCGCCCUGGAGGCAAGGUCUGCUGCUGGGGAAACCAAACCACAGUAACUUCAGAAAUAUAUACUUGGAAUAUGUCAUGUAUUAAUGGGUAAAGACACCGUGGAUAUGAAGGAAAUCACCUAUGGGAGAAUAUUAAGAAGAGAAGAAGGGGCUGCUGGCUGUAGUGAAAUGUAUAAAAAGGAGAGUGUGAUCCUAGUUUCUGUCUCUAACUAUGAGUUACUUGUGAUUAACUUCAAAUAUUCUCUCCAUAAGAAGAGGCCCAGAAGAAGAAGAUGAGCUUCAGUUAUUCUAGCACAACUGCUGUGAUAUUUGUAAAUAUUCAAAACCUAUAAUAAAAUGUAUAAAAGGAAA